Molecule: non-coding RNA, 225 nt
Organism: Paramormyrops kingsleyae
Lineage: Eukaryota; Metazoa; Chordata; Actinopteri; Osteoglossiformes; Mormyridae
Source: RefSeq, a predicted model, not a curated record
UCCACUGCCCUUUAGGUCCUUGGCCUCUGCUCUGAUAGCCCAAUCCACCGCCCUCUAGGUCCUCAGCCUCUGCUCUGAUAGCCCAAUCCACUGCCUGUAGUGUAGCUAUACCCCCCUACUUACAGCCCUGUUAAGGUUUUUAUUCCCACCCACCCCUCCCCCCAUUUGUAUCACCACUGUAUUUGUGUACUUAAAAUUGUGUAAAUAAAUUAAUAAGUACUUGUA